RNAcentral lists this long non-coding RNA (676 nucleotides) under Phoenix dactylifera (date palm). RNAcentral's name for it is "long non-coding RNA (PDAC_LNC008894)". Lineage: Eukaryota; Viridiplantae; Streptophyta; Magnoliopsida; Arecales; Arecaceae. The record is from RNAcentral.
GCUCCGCUGCCGGGAUGGUGGGCGGCGGUGCGCCGACUGGCGGUGUCCUCCUGGGUAGUCCUGCAAAAAAGCCGGUGGCCGGAUUCUCCGGCGCCGGCCCUCCGAAGCUUAAGUCAGAGGGGCUAAUCUGUGGGGGAAGUAGUGGAGGAGAGCCUGCUCUCCCUUUUUAUAAAGGGAUAUAGCGUUACCUGGGAGGUGACAGGGGAGUUUGUCUCCUUUUGCAAUAAUUGGACGCGAUCACGCUCAUUAAUGACGUUGUGGAGAAUAAGGCCGGAUCAGACCGGAGUCAGGGAGCUGUCACGGUCGGUUAGGCCCAUUGGGGUGUGUUGAACCGCCGGUUAUGGUAGGCCCGGGGGUUCGUAGAUGGUAAGUGCAUUAAUUGCUGAGUGAACCGGUGGUCAGGGUGAGCCAUACGCUGUGAUGGUUCAGUGAUCCGGAGAUCGUCUUGAGCUGUGUUCAUUUAAUGACUGAGUGCAUCGGAGGCCCGAGGGGGUCUUAUGCAUUAAUGACAGGUCAUGCCGAGUUCCUGUGGAGAUCCCGUGCCUUGAUGACUUAGGGACGGUGGCAGAUUGUAGUGGAGUUACGUACUUGGUUGUCAGACCUGUUGGAGGAUUAGGCAGUGAUUGGGUAUUCGGCUAAGGCAUGGGCCUAGCGGAGGUGCCGAGCCGAGCAGGUC